GAUGAACGCUGGGGGCGUGCCUAAUACAUGCAAGUCGAGCGAACAGACGAGGAGCUUGCUCCUCUGACGUUAGCGGCGGACGGGUGAGUAACACGCGGAUAACCUACCUAUAAGACUGGGAUAACUUCGGGAAACCGGAGCUAAUACCGGAUAAUAUAUUGAACCGCAUGGUUCAAUAGUGAAAGACGGUUUUGCUGUCACUUAUAGAUGGAUCCGCGCCGCAUUAGCUAGUUGGUAAGGUAACGGCUUACCAAGGCAACGAUGCGUAGCCGACCUGAGAGGGUGAUCGGCCACACUGGAACUGAGACACGGUCCAGACUCCUACGGGAGGCAGCAGUAGGGAAUCUUCCGCAAUGGGCGAAAGCCUGACGGAGCAACGCCGCGUGAGUGAUGAAGGUCUUCGGAUCGUAAAACUCUGUUAUUAGGGAAGAACAAAUGUGUAAGUAACUAUGCACGUCUUGACGGUACCUAAUCAGAAAGCCACGGCUAACUACGUG
This 497-nucleotide ribosomal RNA is filed under the name uncultured bacterium. Its description in RNAcentral is "partial 16S ribosomal RNA". It matches the Rfam family "Bacterial small subunit ribosomal RNA", at positions 28 to 507 of the family's 1533-position model. The record is from RNAcentral.